GUUACUGUUCAUUAAAGACAAUUACUGUUCACUAGAGCCUAUUUAAUAGUGAGUUGCCAUAGGAGACCUUUGCAACGCUAGAGUUUAAAAGAGUGUUAAGGAGCAAUAUACAUCUCUUUAGGUCUAUUCUGGAGAGCUAAAAAGGAAAAUUUUAUGGGGGACAAUUUCAGUGGGACUUUAUGCCUUCAAAAGUGAGUCACAUGCCCUUCACUUGACGUUAAAAAAUAAAAAAUUUGAUAAAAUUGGUUAAGU
This 252-nucleotide long non-coding RNA is filed under the name Malus domestica (apple). Its description in RNAcentral is "long non-coding RNA (MDOM_LNC002760)". The record is from RNAcentral. Lineage: Eukaryota; Viridiplantae; Streptophyta; Magnoliopsida; Rosales; Rosaceae.